CAGAUGAGUAAAAAAACUGUCUCAGUUAUUAUAGCAGCAUAACACACCCAAACUCCACAGGGCAGAGUAGCUAUACAGUAAGCUGGUAGCUUCUUCAGCUCAGGAAUUUGGGCAGAGCACAUUGGGUGGGAGAUUUCAGAGGCCACCACUUGCCUCAAGGUGGGACCGACCCAGGGGCUCAGGCUGACUCAGGCCUCUUGCCAAGACCAGGUUUGUGCUUGGCCUUCCUGGGUGCCCACCCUGGGACUCGCACCCGAGUCUUGGACAUGGCCUGGGCCUCACCUGGCCUCCUGGCUUCGGGUGCUCGAGUCCUGGACACUGGGCCUGGGCCUCACCUGGCCUCCUGGCUUCAGGUGCUCGAGUCCUGGACACUGGGCCUAGGCUUCACCCGGCCUCCUGGCUUCAGGUGCCCAUCCUGUGCUGACCACUUGCCAGCAGCCAUCCUCAGCCCUGACUUCUCACCCCACAAACCCACUCUGGUUUCUACUGGGGUGUGUCACGUACACCCAAAGCUGAGCACCUGGUCUUCCCCCCGGUACUGGACUGAGUGAUGCCCCUUCCAAAAGAUUUGUCCCCAUUGUAACCCCAGAACCCAUGCAUGUGACUCCAUUUGGGACAGGGGUCUUUGAAGAUUUAGUUAAGUAAUGAUUCUGCAGAUGAGCUCAUCCUGGAUUACCUGCGUGGGCCCUAAAUCUAAUGACAAGCGUCCUCAUGAGACACACAGAGGGGAGACGCCUGAGGAGAGGGGAAGCCGUGUGGAGAUAGAGGAAGGACUCGGGUGACAAGGCCACCACCACCUGAUACCUCAGGGGAUCCCCCCGGUACUGGGCUGGGACUGUGGAGCCCAGAAGUUGGAAGAGGCAAGAGAAGAUUCUCCUUCAGAGCCUUCACGUCGAGAGAAAGUUCCUGCUGUUUUGAGGCACCAUGUUUGGGACGCACCCUCCAAGUCUGCAGCCCGUCCUCCAGGCUGUGCUUCCUCGGGUUCCCGGUGCCGACCUGUGCACCCCUCUUUCUUUUACCUGCACCCCUUCUGCCUUCAAAACAUGCUGGGCACCUGCCGGUGUCCCUUCACCUCAGCUCCUGCCCUGCUGCAGACCCUAGCCCCUGCCUGGAGCCGGCACUGUCCCCUCUCACUAGACCCACCUUCACUGUGGACAGUGGCCACUCACGCCCUUCCUGCUCCAGGCCACGUCCCGGCCAAAAGAAAAAACAAAAAAAUCCCUGUGUCUGAAGUGGAUAAUUGUCACCGAGGGAAACCCUCCAGGAGCCAUCACAAGAGCCUAGAAAGGAGGUGGCGGGGCCCGUGGAGGUGCAGGGGGCACGUCUGCUGAAUGUCACUGAGCAAAUUCGUCAGAAAGUACUGCCUGACCCCCUACAAGGUGAGAGGCUGGGCCCAUCACCAUGCUUCUGGCUUGGGAGCCGGGUGACUUAAUGGCUCAGGCAGCUGCCCGAACAUUCUUAAUUAUAAUAAUUGUAUUUCUUUCUUGUAAAAGGCACAUAUGUGGCCCAGACUAGAAAUACGUGUGUAUGGAGAAGUUUGGCUUUUCUAGUGAUGUUAGGCUGAUUGGCAUCUGCAGCAAUGUGUUCUGUUGACUCCCUGGGGACCCCCACCCCCACCCCACUCCUUUACCUCCUUACAGCAGUGGUGGGAGCUGCCCUGGGCCUGGCCCUUCUCAAGUUGGCUGGACAGGCCCAAGCUCUUCCUUUCCCAGGCCCAGGUCUGUCUGGUGGCAGGUAGCAGGAUGUGUUUAUCUGUUGGGGAAGUGGUACUGGUUACGGUAUUCAGUACAUUCUGUGCCUUGGCUGCUGGGAGACAUACCUGACAACAUCAGCCCAGCCAGGAGAACCUGGCUGUGGUGCGUGACGUGUGGCUUUAGGGGCUGGGUUUUCAGUAGUUUAAGCUAGUCAUGACCCAUGCUUGCUCUAGGGGUGAGAAUGAGGGGGCUCAAAACCUGGUUCUGUGCAGUGAACUAGGAGAGAAGGUCAGCUUGGGGCCUCGGGAAAAAAAUAUUCCUUCCUCCUAAAGGGAGAGUCAUUUGAGGGGUGCUCUUGUUACCCUAGCCUUCCAGAUGCUUCCAGCCUUUGAGUGCAUGUGUGUAGAGACAUGAUGUCUAGACCCAUGCGGCCGCUUUGUGACUAUGAAUACACCUAUGGACAAAAGCCAGCCCCCUGAGGACAAAACAGCAUAGAAGGGACCAGUUCUUGAUGGCACCCUGCAGCUGCCGGACCCAACCCCAGGCCAGCCCCCUCCUUUGGACAUUUUUUUUUCAUUAUUGGUGUUGAUAAAAUUCACAUAAUGUAAAUUAACCCUAUAAAAGUGAACGACUUAGUGGCACUUGGUACAUUCACAAUAUUGUGCAACCAUCAUAUCUAUAAAUAAUUCAAAAACAUUUUCAACCCCCCGGAAGGAAACCUUACACCCAUUGACAGUCAGCCACCCCCCAUUCCUUAUUUGUCUAGCCCCUCGCAGCUGCUAGUUUACUUGCUCAGGAAAUUCACCUGUUCUGCAUAUUUCAUAUACAGUAGCACCAUCGUAGCUGACCACCUCCCUACACUGACCACCUCCUUCAGUUGACCUAAUUCUCACAGACUGGACAUGCACCACACGUACAUAUCAGUACAGCAGGCCUAACUCCUUAUGGUGACCACCUCCAUGUGUUGACCAGUUUGUUACAGUCCUUUGAGGGGCAACUUACUGAGGUGCUGCUGUAAAUGGGAUCACACACAUGACCUUUUGUGACUGCAUCUUUCACGGAGCAGUCCAAGUCAUCCUGCUGUAGCCUGCGCCAGUGUGCCCACCAUUCCUUUUAUGGCAGAAUAACUUGCCUUGUGUGAGCAGGCCGCACUUUGUCCAGCCGCACAGGAGUGGAUGGGCAUUCAGAUCUUUCUGCUUCUUGGCUGUCACGAGGAUGCUGCCGUGAGCCUCUGUGUGCAGCUUUUACGUGGCCGUCCUCUUACGUGGCCAGUUGUUCACCCAGCAGUGGAAUUGCUGAGUCAUGCAGCGACUCGCUGCGUGCUCUGUGCACACCGUUCCAGCCUCUGCCCUCUGCACCAGGCUCUUGGUGACUCUCGUCUCCUUUGUCCCUUGCUCUCCCCUCUGAGGUCGCUAUCUCCAUUUUUCAGGUGAGAAAACAGAGGUGACUUGCCAGCAAUCGCUGGACCACCGUCUGUCACCGCCUCUCUGGCUAGAGGAGCUGACAGGGCUGGGCCUGGUCCUGCAGGAGUUUCCUGGCAGGUCGAGGAGGCACCUGCGGAGAACUCACUGGCUGCCAAGACACAGAACAUAGUGUCCUGGAGAGACCCUGGGUGGCACCACAGGGGGCACGGUGUGGGAGAGGCUCCUCAGUCUCUGCUCUACCAAAGGGCACCAAGAGUUCCCACAGCGCCCACCUGGGGGCUUUGCCACACUUGCUGACCACAUGCGUGUGCCCAGGGAGGGAGCUGGUGUCAUUCAGCUUCCUCUGCUGAUGCUUAGCCAGGUCAAUGGCCAGGGUAAGGACCACAGCUGGGGUCACGUCCCAGUUUAAGGCCGAAAGUUAUGAUUUUAACCACUGGCCAUGCUGCUUCCUCAGCCUCUGGAGUUUCACUUUACAACAGGAGCCAAGAAUGAUAUGGAUCCUUCAUGAAGAAAAGCUUGAAGAAAUAAUGAGAAAAACCACUCAUAAUACGCAAAGUCAGAGCAGCUAUCACAUGGCUCAUACCCUGUGUAUUCCGCUGUUUUUCACUGAAGUAGCGAUGGAGUCUUGCUCUUCCUUAGGCUGAUCUUGAACUCCUGAGCUCAAGCGAUCUUCCCGCCUUGUCCUCCUAGAGAGCUGGGAUUACAGGCAGGAGCCACUGCCCCCGGCCACAAUUCUAUAAUAUAUUUGUAUGCUCCUAGUAACAUAGCCUCAAAAUAAAUAAAACAAAACGGAACUUACGCACAAGCUUGCUUUCUUAUUCUGGAAGUCGGAUUUGGUGGAUGGACUGUAGUCUCUGCCAUCAGACUUGGGCAAAGUCAGAGCCAGGCCCUCCUCUCAGGAGUUUUCUCUCCAGCGGGGAGGGAAAACCAUGGCUGCGUGAGCAGCUGCAGACCUCGGCCAGUGCCAGCUGAGGAGGGUCUCAGCCACAGCAGACAGCUAUCACCCACCUGCAUUCACAGUCACACCACGAACACUG
Molecule: long non-coding RNA, 4155 nt
Organism: Nycticebus coucang (slow loris)
Lineage: Eukaryota; Metazoa; Chordata; Mammalia; Primates; Lorisidae
Exons: 3
Source: RefSeq, a predicted model, not a curated record